GACGUAGGGCGCAAGCGUUGUCCGGAAUUAUUGGGCGUAAAGAGCUCGUAGGCGGCUUGUUGCGUCGACUGUGAAAACCCGUGGCUCAACCAUGUGGUCUGCAGUCGAUACGGGCAGGCUAGAAUUCGGUAGGGGAGACUGGAAUUCUUGGUGUAGCGGUGAAAUGCGUAGAUAUCAAGAGGAACACCUGCGGCGAAGGCGGGUUGCUGGGCCGACACUGACGCUGAUGCGCGAAAGCUAGGGGAGCGAACGGG
Molecule: ribosomal RNA, 254 nt
Filed under: uncultured bacterium
Lineage: Bacteria
Description: partial 16S ribosomal RNA
Rfam family: Bacterial small subunit ribosomal RNA
Source: RNAcentral